UACGUAGGGGGCUAGCGUUGUCCGGAAUCAUUGGGCGUAAAGCGCGUGUAGGCGGUCCGGUAAGUCCGCUGUGAAAGUCGAGGGCUCAACCCUCGAAUGCCGGUGGAUACUGUCGGGCUUGAGUACGGGAGAGGCGAGUGGAAUUCCUGGUGUAGCGGUGGAAUGCGUAGAGAUCCGGAAGAACACCGGUGGCGAAGGCGGCCCGCUGGGCAACUGCUGACACUGAUGCGCGACAGCGUGGGGAGCAAACAGG
RNAcentral lists this ribosomal RNA (253 nucleotides) under uncultured bacterium. RNAcentral's name for it is "partial 16S ribosomal RNA". It matches the Rfam family "Bacterial small subunit ribosomal RNA", at positions 524 to 776 of the family's 1533-position model. The record is from RNAcentral.